UGAAUACGAGACGCUACGGCGUUGAAGCAGUCUAUGUCAUACUUCCAAGAAAAGCUCGCAAUGUCUUAAACAAAUAAUGCCUGUACCAUAACCGACACAGGUGGGUAGGUAGAGUAUACUAAGGGGCGCGAGAUAACUCUCUCUAAGGAACUCGGCAAAAUGACUCCGUAACUUCGGGAGAAGGAGUGCCUUAUUUAUAAGGUUGCAAUAACAAGAUCCAAGCAACUGUUUAUCAAAAACACAGGUCUCCGCUAAGUCGUAAGACGAUGUAUGGGGGCUGACGCCUGCCCAGUGCCAGAAGGUUAAAGAAGUUGGUUAGCAUUAGCGAAGCUGAUGACUGAAGCCCUGGUGAACGGCGGCCGUAACUAUAACGGUCCUAAGGUAGCGAAAUUCCUUGUCGGGUAAGUUCCAACCCGCACGAAAGGCGUAAUGAUUUGGAUACUGUCUCGGAGAGGGACUCGGUGAAAUAGACUUGUCUGUGAAGAUGCGGACUACCUGCACCUGGACAGAAAGACCCUAUGAAGCUUUACUGUAACUUGAAAUUGAAAUUGGACUUUAUUCGCGCAGUAUAGGUGGGAGGCUUUGAGAAUAUUCUUGCGGGAAUAUUUGAGCCAUCAGUGAGAUACCACCCUUGUAAUGUUAGAUUUCUAACUUUGUAUCAUGAUCUGGUCAAAGAACAGUUUCAGGCGGGCAGUUUGACUGGGGCGGUCGCCUCCCAAAUGGUAACGGAGGCGUACAAAGGUUUCCUCUGAACGGGUAGAAAUCGUAUCUAGAGUGUAAAGGCAUAAGGAAGCUUGACUGUGAGACCUACAAGUCGAGCAGGGACGAAAGUCGGUCUUAGUGAUCUGACGGUGCUGAGUGGAAAGGCCGUCACUCAACGGAUAAAAGUUACUCUAAGGAUAACAGGCUGAUCUCCCCCAAGAGUUCACAUCGACGGGGAGGUUUGGCACCUCGAUGUCGGCUCAUCGCAUCCUGGGGCGGUAGUACGUCCCAAGGGUUGGGCUGUUCGCCCAUGAAAGCGGUACGCGAGCUGGGUUCAGAACGUCGUGAGACAGUUCGGUCCAUAUCCGGUGUAGGCGUUAGAAUAUUGAGAGGAGCCUUCUUUAGUACGAGAGGACCGAGAAGGACAUACCUCUGGUGUACCAGUUAUCGUGCCAACGGUAAACGCUGGGUAGCUAUGUAUGGAGAGGAUAACCGCUGAAAGCAUCUAAGUGGGAAGCCCACCUCAAGAUAAG
This 1235-nucleotide ribosomal RNA is filed under the name metagenome. Its description in RNAcentral is "bacterial LSU rRNA". It matches the Rfam family "Bacterial large subunit ribosomal RNA", at positions 1564 to 2808 of the family's 2925-position model. The record is from RNAcentral.